UGUGGAAUAUUGGGCAAUGGGACCAACCCUGAUCCAGCCAUGCGGCGUGAGUGAUCAAGGCCCUAGGGUCGUUAAAUCUCUUUUGUGCGGGAAGAUAAUGACGGUACCGCAAGAAUAAGCCCCGGCUAACUUUCGUGC
This 138-nucleotide ribosomal RNA is filed under the name uncultured bacterium. RNAcentral's name for it is "partial 16S ribosomal RNA". It matches the Rfam family "Bacterial small subunit ribosomal RNA", at positions 355 to 508 of the family's 1533-position model. The record is from RNAcentral.